UUGUUUACAGCAUCUUCUGGCCCCCAAGGGAUAGUAAAUAACCAUGCUUUCUCCCAUGAUUCAUCGGUGUCUGGUUUCCAGCCUUUUGUGAGGUCUAAUUUUGUCCAGGGAUCUGAUAUUUCUGCUGAAAAAAGGAGUUCUAGGGACACUCUCUCCGAUUUUGCCUCAUCUUCUAAACCGAGCAAUGGCCAGGAUAUAAAGGCUGCACCAAACCUGCAAUCAGGUUCUGUAAAAUCUGAAGUUAUAGAAAAGGAAGAAGGUGAAUGGUCUGAUGGAGAGGGAUCUGGUGAUGCUUGCAGAACAAGUAUUAUUCACGAAAACUC
RNAcentral lists this long non-coding RNA (323 nucleotides) under Erythranthe guttata (spotted monkey flower). RNAcentral's name for it is "long non-coding RNA (EGUT_LNC001484)". Lineage: Eukaryota; Viridiplantae; Streptophyta; Magnoliopsida; Lamiales; Phrymaceae. The record is from RNAcentral.